RNAcentral lists this ribosomal RNA (529 nucleotides) under uncultured bacterium. RNAcentral describes it as "bacterial SSU rRNA". It matches the Rfam family "Bacterial small subunit ribosomal RNA", at positions 28 to 569 of the family's 1533-position model. The record is from RNAcentral.
GACGAACGCUGGCGGCGUGCUUAACACAUGCAAGUCGAGGGGGCCAGCAAUGGUCACCGGCGAACGGGUGCGUAACACGUGAGCAACCUGCCGCAGAGUGGGGGAUAGCCGGCCCAACGGCCGGGUAAUACCGCAUACGAUCUUGCCGGGACAUCCCGGGAAGAUGAAAGAUUUAUCGCUCUGCGAGGGGCUCGCGGCCUAUCAGCUAGUUGGCGAGGUAACGGCUCACCAAGGCGACGACGGGUAGCUGGUCUGAGAGGAUGGCCAGCCACAUUGGGACUGCGACACGGCCCAGACUCCUACGGGAGGCAGCAGUGGGGAAUCUUGCGCAAUGGGCGAAAGCCUGACGCAGCGACGCCGCGUGGGGGAGGAAGGUUUUCGGAUCGUAAACCCCUGUUGCCCGGGACGAAUCCCUGGUUUUGACCAGGUUGACGGUACCGGGUGAGGAAGCACCGGCUAACUCCGUGCCAGCAGCCGCGGUAAUACGGAGGGUGCGAGCGUUGUCCGGAAUCACUGGGCGUAAAGGGCG